RNAcentral lists this ribosomal RNA (330 nucleotides) under Triticum aestivum (bread wheat). RNAcentral's name for it is "partial small subunit ribosomal RNA". Lineage: Eukaryota; Viridiplantae; Streptophyta; Magnoliopsida; Poales; Poaceae. The record is from RNAcentral.
AUGAAGGUGCCCCCGAGAUGGUGUGCAGAUAGGAUGGACUAUUGGGAGGCGUUGGUGGAUGAGUGGUGCUCUCCCCAAUGGCUAGCCGUCCACAACAAGGCCAAGGAUAAGCAUGCCCAAAUGCAAGGUGUGCCACGCCAUCAAGGGAGCUCCAACCUGAUUGAGUACGGGGAUAAGUGGGCGCGACACAACAAUAAGGAGGUGCCACCGCUAUUCGACCUCUAUGCCAUGGCCCAUACUGCCCGUACAAGAAGGCCAAGGCAUUCUCUGAGUUUAACCUCGAUCAUCCAGAGAGGUUCACCAACAUCUCCUCCCACAACAAGCUCGUGA